RNAcentral lists this ribosomal RNA (253 nucleotides) under uncultured bacterium. Its description in RNAcentral is "partial 16S ribosomal RNA". It matches the Rfam family "Bacterial small subunit ribosomal RNA", at positions 524 to 776 of the family's 1533-position model. The record is from RNAcentral.
UACGAAGGGGGCUAGCGUUGCUCGGAAUCACUGGGCGUAAAGGGUGCGUAGGCGGGUCUUUAAGUUAGGGGUGAAAUCCUGGAGCUCAACUCCAGAACUGCCUUUGAUACUGAAGAUCUUGAGUUCGGGAGAGGUGAGUGGAACUGCGAGUGUAGAGGUGAAAUUCGUAGAUAUUGGGAAGAACACCGGUGGCGAAGGCGGCUCACUGGCCCGUUUCUGACGCUCAGGCGCGACAGCGUGGGGAUCAAACAGG